Molecule: RNA transcript, 984 nt
Organism: Erigeron canadensis
Lineage: Eukaryota; Viridiplantae; Streptophyta; Magnoliopsida; Asterales; Asteraceae
Gene name: D-aminoacyl-tRNA deacylase
Exons: 9
Source: RefSeq, a predicted model, not a curated record
CUCAACAACAUACCCUUAUAAUCCAAAACACCCCCCUUAAUCCUAUUCCUGUAACUAAAGAAAGGCGAUAAACAAACAAAGGGAUGAAAGUGGUCGUCCAGCGAGUUGCUUCUGCCAGCGUUGAGGUUGAAGGGCGCACAGUGUCUGCAAUUGGGGCGGGCCUUCUUGUUCUUGUCGGAGUUCAUGACCUCGAUACCGAUUCCGAUGCUGAUUAUAUAUGUCGUAAAGUGUUGAAUAUGAGAUUGUUCCCGAAUGAACAAACUGGAAAAACAUGGGAUCUUAAUGUAAUGCAGAAAAACUAUGAGGUUCUACUAGUGAGUCAAUUUACAUUGUAUGGGAUACUUAAGGGUAACAAGCCUGAUUUUCAUGUUGCAAUGGGACCUGAUAGAGCAAAAUCGUAUUAUGCUUCUUUAGUGGAAAGGUUUCAAAGAAGUUACAAACAUGAUUCAGUCAAAGAUGGAGUAUUUGGGGCAAUGAUGAAGGUUAAUCUGGUAAAUGAUGGUCCAGUUACAAUGCAGCUCGAGUCACCACAGUCAUUAAGAAACAAUAAUGAUUCAGCUGAAGUAGAACGAGUACUAUGAACGGUACGUAAUUUAUGCCCUAGAUGCGGCUUCUUCAUCUUCUUUUAGAUUUUAUGUAGACUUUAGUACACCAUGUUUGAUGUUCUGAUUAUCUAUUUUGUACCAACAGUUCUACAAAAUAUGCUACUUUCCAAUCAUCUAUUGCACUUUGAAUAAGCUUGCAUUAUUUGGUUUCGAGUUCAGAGAAUUAAUUUACCACAAUGGGUCUGAAUUUUUUACGGAAACUAUAUGGGAUUUUGUGGGCUUUAGCUGCUAAACGUAUGGAUGUCUUUCACCAUUAGAUGGCCCGGAUGGCCAGUCAUUCGUCAUUUCAUUGUUGGACGUACCAUUUUGGUAAUUAAUUUGCUUUGUAAAAAGUCUAUUAUAUAGAAACUUAUAUCAUUUGAUAAAGGUCCUACUAAAA